Molecule: non-coding RNA, 186 nt
Organism: Oryza nivara
Lineage: Eukaryota; Viridiplantae; Streptophyta; Magnoliopsida; Poales; Poaceae
Source: Rfam
AAUAAGUACAGCCAUGAGUUUCCACGCCCAAUUUUGAUCGUCCGUUUUAUUUAAAAUUUUUUUAUAAUUAGCAUUUUUAUUGUUAUAAGAUGAUACAACAUGACUUAUGUUUUUAAUUUUUUUAAAAAAAAUUUAAAUAAGACGAAUGGUUAAAGUUGGACGCUGAAAAUUAUGGCUGUACUUAUU